This 948-nucleotide ribosomal RNA is filed under the name Epirrita viridipurpurescens. RNAcentral describes it as "partial 16S rRNA". The record is from RNAcentral. Lineage: Eukaryota; Metazoa; Arthropoda; Insecta; Lepidoptera; Geometridae.
AAAGAACUAAUUAAUUAAUAAAGUUAUUGUGGCAAAACUAUUUUAAAUAAUUAAUUUGAAAUGAAAUGUUAUUCGUUUUUAAAUAUAUCUAGUUUUUUCAGAAAAAAAUUUAAUUUUAAAUUUUUUUUUAUAAGUAAAAUUAAUUAAUUAAUUUUAUUUAAGAAGAAUUUUAUAUUUUAAGGGAUAAGCUUUAAAUUAAAAAUUUAUAAUGAUUCUUUUUUUUUUUAUUGAAAAUUUUAUAAUUUAUAUUGUUAAUAAAAUUUAAUUUAUUAUAAAUAAUUUCAUUUUUAAAAGAUUUAAUUUUAAUUUAAUUUUUUAUGAAAAAAAAAUUUUUAAUAAAUAAAAAUUAGUUAUAAUGAUAAAAUUAGUAUAUUUAUUUUUAAAGUUUAUUUAUUAAUUAAAUUAAUUAAUAAAAAGGAAUUCGGCAAAUAAUUAUAUUCACUUGUUUAACAAAAACAUGUCUUUUUGUUAUUAAUUUAAAGUCUAAUCUGCCCACUGAUUUAAUUAUUAAAGGGCUGCAGUAUAUUGACUGUACAAAGGUAGCAUAAUCAUUAGUCAUUUAAUUGAUGACUUGUAUGAAGGAUUGGAUGAGAUAUAAGCUGUCUCUUUAUUAAUUUAUAUAAUUUAAUUUUUUAAUUAAAAAGUUAAAAUAUUUUAAAAAGACGAGAAGACCCUAUAGAGUUUUAUAAAUAGUUUUAUUUAAAAUUAUUUAUAAAUAUUAAAAUAAAAAUAAAAUUAUUUAUUUUGUUGGGGUGACAAAAAAAUAUAAUAAACUUUUUAUAAAAAAAUCAUAAAUAAGUGAGUAUAUGAUCCAAUAUUAUUGAUUAUAAGAAAAAAUUACCUUAGGGAUAACAGCGUAAUUUUUUUUUUUAGUUCAAAUAAGAAAAAGAGUUUGCGACCUCGAUGUUGGAUUAAGAUAAAAUUUAGAUGCAAAAGUUUAAAAUUUUG